This 153-nucleotide long non-coding RNA is filed under the name Urocitellus parryii (Arctic ground squirrel). Its description in RNAcentral is "lncRNA (ENSUPAG00010006505.1)". The record is from RNAcentral. Lineage: Eukaryota; Metazoa; Chordata; Mammalia; Rodentia; Sciuridae.
CAUCGGUCUUCCAAGGCUAGGGCUGCUGCGACUGAGGAAUCUGAGGUUUAAGCCCCUCGGCRAGGGUCCCAGCCAGUGCCCUGGAGUAAGAGCGGACGUUCACUGAACAAGGCCAUGCCCAGAGGAUUCUAGAACUUCAAAGCUGCAGCUUUG